Molecule: ribosomal RNA, 791 nt
Filed under: uncultured bacterium
Lineage: Bacteria
Description: bacterial SSU rRNA
Rfam family: Bacterial small subunit ribosomal RNA
Source: RNAcentral
AGAGUUUGAUCAUGGCUCAGAUUGAACGCUGGCGGCAUGCCUUACACAUGCAAGUCGAACGGCAGCACGGGAGCAAUCCUGGUGGCGAGUGGCGAACGGGUGAGUAAUACAUCGGAACGUGCCCAGUCGUGGGGGAUAACGCAGCGAAAGCUGUGCUAAUACCGCAUACGAUCUACGGAUGAAAGCAGGGGACCGCAAGGCCUUGCGCGAGUGGAGCGGCCGAUGGCAGAUUAGGUAGUUGGUGAGGUAAAGGCUCACCAAGCCUUCGAUCUGUAGCUGGUCUGAGAGGACGACCAGCCACACUGGGACUGAGACACGGCCCAGACUCCUACGGGAGGCAGCAGUGGGGAAUUUUGGACAAUGGGCGCAAGCCUGAUCCAGCCAUGCCGCGUGCAGGAUGAAGGCCUUCGGGUUGUAAACUGCUUUUGUACGGAACGAAACGGCUCUUUCUAAUAAAGAGGGCUAAUGACGGUACCGUAAGAAUAAGCACCGGCUAACUACGUGCCAGCAGCCGCGGUAAUACGUAGGGUGCAAGCGUUAAUCGGAAUUACUGGGCGUAAAGCGUGCGCAGGCGGUGAUGUAAGACAGUUGUGAAAUCCCCGGGCUCAACCUGGGAACUGCAUCUGUGACUGCAUCGCUGGAGUGCGGCAGAGGGGGAUGGAAUUCCGCGUAGCAGUGAAAUGCGUAGAUAUGCGGAGGAACACCGAUGGCGAAGGCAAUCCCCUGGGCCUGCACUGACGCUCAUGCACGAAAGCGUGGGGAGCAAACAGGAUUAGAUACCCUAGUAGUCC